RNAcentral lists this ribosomal RNA (468 nucleotides) under uncultured bacterium. RNAcentral describes it as "bacterial SSU rRNA". It matches the Rfam family "Bacterial small subunit ribosomal RNA", at positions 331 to 793 of the family's 1533-position model. The record is from RNAcentral.
GAGCACUCCUACGGGAGGCAGCAGUGGGGAAUAUUGCACAAUGGGCGCAAGCCUGAUGCAGCCAUGCCGCGUGUAUGAAGAAGGCCUUCGGGUUGUAAAGUACUUUCAGCAGUGAGGAAGUGGGUAUGUUAAUAGCAUAUUCAUUUGACGUUAGCUGCAGAAGAAGCACCGGCUAACUCCGUGCCAGCAGCCGCGGUAAUACGGAGGGUGCGAGCGUUAAUCGGAAUUACUGGGCGUAAAGCGCAUGCAGGUGGUUUGUUAAGUCAGAUGUGAAAGCCCGGGGCUCAACCUCGGAAUUGCAUUUGAAACUGGCAAACUAGAGUACUGUAGAGGGGGUAGAAUUUCAGGUGUAGCGGUGAAAUGCGUAGAGAUCUGAAGGAAUACCGGUGGCGAAGGCGGCCCCCUGGACAGAUACUGACACUCAGAUGCGAAAGCGUGGGGAGCAAACAGGAUUAGAUACCCUGGUAG